AUGGUGGAAUUGCCAAACCUUUGCCCAUGCCGAAAAAGAAGCCAAGUCCUUUUCAAUAAUUACCUUUCUUUUGUCUCUAUCUUUGGACUGAAUCAGAAUCAGAAGAAAAGCAAGGCUAUCCUUCGUUGCACACCUAAUGGAAAGCACUGGCUAGAUUUCCGAUGA
RNAcentral lists this ribosomal RNA (165 nucleotides) under Triticum aestivum (bread wheat). RNAcentral describes it as "partial small subunit ribosomal RNA". The record is from RNAcentral. Lineage: Eukaryota; Viridiplantae; Streptophyta; Magnoliopsida; Poales; Poaceae.